This 60-nucleotide ribosomal RNA is filed under the name Hymenobacter coccineus. RNAcentral's name for it is "partial 16S ribosomal RNA". The record is from RNAcentral. Lineage: Bacteria; Pseudomonadati; Bacteroidota; Cytophagia; Cytophagales; Hymenobacteraceae.
UUAUACAAUGGAGAGUUUGAUCCUGGCUCAGGAUGAACGCUAGCGGCAGGCCUAAUACAU